Molecule: long non-coding RNA, 574 nt
Organism: Solanum lycopersicum (tomato)
Lineage: Eukaryota; Viridiplantae; Streptophyta; Magnoliopsida; Solanales; Solanaceae
Source: RefSeq, a predicted model, not a curated record
AAAGGAACUCCGUCCAAGAACUGAAAUCUACCCUACUCUAAAUUAGGAAGAAAAAAAAGAGACAACUUACGAAAGGGAAAAGGGGACCGGGUCAUCUUCUACAGCUCAAACCCUAGACUAGGAAAGGGGAUGAUAUUUUGCAUCAGCAUUUUGUGCUCCAACUUUGGGAACCUUCACCAACAACAUGAAACGCCUCAAUUUGUACAUCACAAUUUUGGUUGAGCUCAUCAAGGAUAUAAUACCACUAUCUAAGGCCUUCAAAAAACAAUACUUUUGUCUUCCUCAGACGUAGGUAACUACGAUUAUCAUUUGGCGUAUGGCUGAUCCAGUGAGCAGCUGAGAGUCAGUUGGCGAUCCUCCCUUCAUUUCGAUGGACAUCCUUAUCAUUUAAUUGUGUGCUUCAGUUUUUAGCGAUUAAGAUGAUAAGGGGUCAUGUCCCUAAUUCAUCUUUACUUUAGAGUCUCCAUACAAAGACAAUGUAAGUUUUCAUUGGUCUUUCAUUUCAUUUGUAAAGACUUGAAGUUACCAUUUUGUAUACGUACUGUUUCAAAUUUUUCUCUUCAGUUAUAUCCUA